GACGUAGGGGGCAAGCGUUAUUCGGAAUUAUUGGGCGUAAAGCGCUCGUAGGCGGGACAGGAAGUCCGUGAAGAAAGACCUGGGCUCAACUCAGGGACCGGCACGGAUACUCUUGUUCUUGAGGCAAUCAGAGGGUGAUGGAAUUCCCGGUGUAGCGGUGAAAUGCGUAGAUAUCGGGAAGAAUACCCGUGGCGAAGGCGGCCAGCUGGGCCAGGUCCGACACUGAGGCGCGAAAGCGUGGGGAGCAAACAGG
Molecule: ribosomal RNA, 253 nt
Filed under: uncultured bacterium
Lineage: Bacteria
Description: partial 16S ribosomal RNA
Rfam family: Bacterial small subunit ribosomal RNA
Source: RNAcentral